CCUACGGGAGGCAGCAGUGGGGAAUUUUGGACAAUGGGCGCAGCCUGAUCCAGCCUGCCGCGUGCAGGAUGAAGGCCUUCGGGUUGUAAACUGCUUUUGUACGGAACGAAAAAGCUCUCUCUAAUACAGGGGGUGAAUGACGGUACCGUAAGAAUAAGCACCGGCUAACUACGUGCCAGCAGCCGCGGUAAUACGUAGGGUGCAAGCGUUAAUCGGAAUUACUGGGCGUAAAGCGUGCGCAGGCGUUUAUGUAAGACAGAGGUGAAAUCCCCGGGCUCAACCUUGGAAACUGCCUUUGUGACUGCAUAGCUGGAGUGCGGCAGAGGGGGAUGGAAUUCCGCGUGUAGCAGUGAAAUGCGUACAUAUGCGGAGGAACCCCGAUGGCGAAGGCAAUUCCCCUGGGCCUGCCCUGACGCUCAUGCACGAAAGCGUGGGGAGCAAACAGGAUUUAGAUACCCUGGUAGUCCACGCCCUAAACGAUGUCAACUGGUUGUUGGGUCUUCACUGACUCAGUAACGAAGCUAACGCGUGAAGUUGACCGCCUGGGGAGUACGGCCGCAAGGUUAAAACUCAAAGGAAUUGACGG
RNAcentral lists this ribosomal RNA (586 nucleotides) under uncultured bacterium. RNAcentral describes it as "bacterial SSU rRNA". It matches the Rfam family "Bacterial small subunit ribosomal RNA", at positions 338 to 916 of the family's 1533-position model. The record is from RNAcentral.